This 124-nucleotide non-coding RNA is filed under the name Methylomonas sp. RNAcentral describes it as "c-di-GMP sequence". It matches the Rfam family "c-di-GMP-I riboswitch aptamer". Rfam says of the family: GEMM was predicted in a large-scale screen for bacterial structured RNA regulatory elements. Genes associated with GEMM are involved in a diverse array of functions, including chemotaxis regulation, signal transduction, secretion and chitin. Lineage: Bacteria; Pseudomonadati; Pseudomonadota; Gammaproteobacteria; Methylococcales; Methylococcaceae. RNAcentral also lists the same sequence under 1 other name. The record is from RNAcentral.
GCGUGUAAAAGCCAAACUCGCCGCGAGGCGGGGACGGAAAGUUUCAGGUCUUGGCUUGGGUCGGUCGCCGGGGAUGGCGGCGGGCGGUAGGAAGCCGACAAGCCAAGACGGCUGGGCUGUCACC